UACGUAGGGUGCGAGCGUUUGUCCGGAAUUACUGGGCGUAAAGAGCUCGUAGGUGGUUUGUCGCGUUGUUCGUGAAAACUCACAACUCAAUUGUGGGCGUGCGGGCGAUACGGGCAGACUGGAGUACUGCAGGGGAGACUGGAAUUCCUGGUGUAGCGGUGAAAUGCGCAGAUAUCAGGAGGAACAUCAGUGGCGAAGGCGGCCUGCUGGGCUGUUGCUGACGCUGAGGCGCGCAGCGUGGGGAGCAACCAGG
This 253-nucleotide ribosomal RNA is filed under the name uncultured bacterium. Its description in RNAcentral is "partial 16S ribosomal RNA". It matches the Rfam family "Bacterial small subunit ribosomal RNA", at positions 524 to 776 of the family's 1533-position model. The record is from RNAcentral.